AGAUUGAACGCUGGCGGCAUGCCUAACACAUGCAAGUCGAACGGGAGUAGCAAUACUCUAGUGGCGGACGGGUGAGGAAUACGUAGGAAUUUGCCCUUAAGUGGGGGAUAACCCGGGGAAACCCGGAUUAAUACCGCAUGACCUCGAAAGAGCAAAGUGGGGGAUCGCAAGACCUCACGCUUUUGGAGAAGCCUACGUCGGAUUAGCUAGUUGGUGAGGUAAUGGCUCACCAAGGCGACGAUCCGUAACUGGUCUGAGAGGAUGAUCAGUCACACCGGAACUGAGACACGGUCCGACUCCUACGGGAGGCAGCAGUGGGGAAUAGUUGGACAA
This 333-nucleotide ribosomal RNA is filed under the name uncultured soil bacterium. Its description in RNAcentral is "bacterial SSU rRNA". It matches the Rfam family "Bacterial small subunit ribosomal RNA", at positions 26 to 371 of the family's 1533-position model. The record is from RNAcentral.